GAUGAACGCUGGCGGCGUGCCUAAUACAUGCCAGUCGAGCGAACAGACGAGGAGCUUGCUCCUCUGACGUUAGCGGCGGACGGGUGAGUAACACGUGGAUAACCUACCUAUAAGACUGGGAUAACUUCGGGAAACCGGAGCUAAUACCGGAUAACAUGUUGAACCGCAUGGUUCAACAGUGAAAGACGGUCUUGCUGUCACUUAUAGAUGGAUCCGCGCCGCAUUAGCUAGUUGGUAAGGUAACGGCUUACCAAGGCAACGAUGCGUAGCCGACCUGAGAGGGUGAUCGGCCACACUGGAACUGAGACACGGUCCAGACUCCUACGGGAGGCAGCAGUAGGGAAUCUUCCGCAAUGGGCGAAAGCCUGGCGGAGCAACGCCGCGUGAGUGAAGAAGGUCUUCGGAUCGUAAAACUCUGUUAUUAGGGAAGAACAAAUGUGUAAGUAACUAUGCACGUCUUGACGGUACCUAAUCAGAAAGCCACGGCUAACUACGUG
Molecule: ribosomal RNA, 497 nt
Filed under: uncultured bacterium
Lineage: Bacteria
Description: partial 16S ribosomal RNA
Rfam family: Bacterial small subunit ribosomal RNA
Source: RNAcentral